UGGGGAAUUUUGGACAAUGGGCGAAAGCCUGAUCCAGCAAUGCCGCGUGUGUGAAGAAGGCCUUCGGGUUGUAAAGCACUUUUGUCCGGAAAGAAAUCCUUGGCUCUAAUACAGUCGGGGGAUGACGGUACCGGAAGAAUAAGCACCGGCUAACUACGUGCCAGCAGCCGCGGUAAUACGUAGGGUGCAAGCGUUAAUCGGAAUUACUGGGCGUAAAGCGUGCGCAGGCGGUUUGCUAAGACCGAUGUGAAAUCCCCGGGCUCAACCUGGGAACUGCAUUGGUGACUGGCAGGCUAGAGUAUGGCAGAGGGGGGUAGAAUUCCACGUGUAGCAGUGAAAUGCGUAGAGAUGUGGAGGAAUACCGAUGGCGAAGGCAGCCCCCUGGGCCAAUACUGACGCUCAUGCACGAAAGCGUGGGGAGCAAAGCAGGAUUAGAUACCCUGGUAGUCCACGCCCUAAACGAUGUCAACUAGUUGUUGGGGAUUCAUUUCCUUAGUAACGUAGCUAACGCGUGAAGUUGACCGCCUGGGGAGUACGGUCGCAAGAUUAAAACUCAAA
This 558-nucleotide ribosomal RNA is filed under the name uncultured bacterium. RNAcentral's name for it is "partial 16S ribosomal RNA". It matches the Rfam family "Bacterial small subunit ribosomal RNA", at positions 355 to 905 of the family's 1533-position model. The record is from RNAcentral.